UUGCGGACGGGUGAGUAACGCGUGGGGAACCUGCCUUGCACCGGGGGAUAACACUUAGAAAUAGGUGCUAAUACCGCAUAAGCGCACAGUCUCGCAUGAGACGGUGUGAAAAACUCCGGUGGUAUACGAUGGAUCCGCGUCUGAUUAGCUUGUUGGCGGGGUAACAGCCCACCAAGGCGACGAUCAGUAGCCGGCCUGAGAGGGUGAACGGCCACAUUGGGACUGAGACACGGCCCAAACUCCUACGGGAGGCAGCAG
This 258-nucleotide ribosomal RNA is filed under the name uncultured bacterium. Its description in RNAcentral is "partial 16S ribosomal RNA". It matches the Rfam family "Bacterial small subunit ribosomal RNA", at positions 96 to 354 of the family's 1533-position model. The record is from RNAcentral.